RNAcentral lists this ribosomal RNA (510 nucleotides) under uncultured Actinomycetes bacterium. RNAcentral's name for it is "bacterial SSU rRNA". It matches the Rfam family "Bacterial small subunit ribosomal RNA", at positions 355 to 858 of the family's 1533-position model. The record is from RNAcentral. Lineage: Bacteria; Bacillati; Actinomycetota; Actinomycetes.
UGGGGAAUCUUGCGCAAUGCGCGAAAGCGUGACGCAGCAACGCCGCGUGGGGGAAGACGGCCUUCGGGUUGUAAACCCUUUCAGUUGGGACGAAGGUUCGGUCGGUGAAUAGCCGGCAGGACUGACGGUACCUUCAGAAGAAGCCCCGGCUAACUACGUGCCAGCAGCCGCGGUAAUACGUAGGGGGCAAGCGUUGUCCGGAAUCAUUGGGCGUAAAGCGCGUGUAGGCGGCCCGAUAAGUCCGCUGUGAAAGUCCAGGGCUCAACCCUGGGAUGCCAGUGGAUACUGUCGGGCUAGAGUCCGGAAGAGGCGAGUGGAAUUCCUGGUGUAGCGGUGAAAUGCGCAGAUAUCAGGAGGAACACCAAUGGCGAAGGCAGCUCGCUGGGACGGUACUGACGUUGAGACGCGAAAGCGUGGGGAGCAAACAGGAUUAGAUACCCUGGUAGUCCACGCCGUAAACGAUGGGCACCAGGUGUGGGGGUGUCGACUCCCCCGUGCCGACGCUAACGC